GCUCCACCCGAUCCCAUCCCGAACUCGGACGUGAAAAAACCCAGCGCCUAUGAUACUGUGCCUUAAGGCACGGGAAAGUCGGUCGCCGCCA
Molecule: ribosomal RNA, 91 nt
Filed under: Novacetimonas hansenii
Lineage: Bacteria; Pseudomonadati; Pseudomonadota; Alphaproteobacteria; Acetobacterales; Acetobacteraceae
Source: RNAcentral